GACGAACGCUGGCGGCGUGCCUAAUACAUGCAAGUUGAGCGAUGAAGCUUGGUGCUUGCACCAAUUUGAAGAGCAGCGAACGGGUGAGUAACGCGUGGGGAAUCUGCCUUUGAGCGGGGGACAACAUUUGGAAACGAAUGCUAAUACCGCAUAACAACUUUAAACAUAAGUUUUAAGUUUGAAAGAUGCAAUUGCAUCACCCAAAGAUGAUCCCGCGUUGUAUUAGCUAGUUGGUGAGGUAAAGGCUCACCAAGGCGAUGAUACAUAGCCGACCUGAGAGGGUGAUCGGCCACAUUGGGACUGAGACACGGCCCAAACUCCUACGGGAGGCAGCAGUAGGGAAUCUUCGGCAAUGGACGAAAGUCUGACCGAGCAACGCCGCGUGAGUGAAGAAGGUUUUCGGAUCGUAAAACUCUGUUGGUAGAGAAGAACGUUGGUGAGAGUGGAAAGCUCAUCAAGUGACGGUAACUACACAGAAAGGGACGGCUAACUACGUG
This 497-nucleotide ribosomal RNA is filed under the name uncultured bacterium. Its description in RNAcentral is "partial 16S ribosomal RNA". It matches the Rfam family "Bacterial small subunit ribosomal RNA", at positions 28 to 507 of the family's 1533-position model. The record is from RNAcentral.